This 243-nucleotide ribosomal RNA is filed under the name uncultured Streptococcus sp. RNAcentral describes it as "partial 16S ribosomal RNA". It matches the Rfam family "Bacterial small subunit ribosomal RNA", at positions 1139 to 1382 of the family's 1533-position model. The record is from RNAcentral. Lineage: Bacteria; Bacillati; Bacillota; Bacilli; Lactobacillales; Streptococcaceae.
UCUAGCGAGACUGCCGGUAAUAAACCGGAGGAAGGUGGGAUGACGUCAAAUCAUCAUGCCCCUUAUGACCUGGGCUACACACGUGCUACAAUGGUUGGUACAACGAGUUGCGAGUCGGUGACGGCGAGCUAAUCUCUUAAAGCCAAUCUCAGUUCGGAUUGUAGGCUGCAACUCGCCUACAUGAAGUCGGAAUCGCUAGUAAUCGCGGAUCAGCACGCCGCGGUGAAUACGUUCCCGGGCCUU